This 761-nucleotide ribosomal RNA is filed under the name uncultured Aeromonadaceae bacterium. RNAcentral's name for it is "bacterial SSU rRNA". It matches the Rfam family "Bacterial small subunit ribosomal RNA", at positions 28 to 776 of the family's 1533-position model. The record is from RNAcentral. Lineage: Bacteria; Pseudomonadati; Pseudomonadota; Gammaproteobacteria; Aeromonadales; Aeromonadaceae.
AUUGAACGCUGGCGGCAGGCCUAACACAUGCAAGUCGAGCGGCAGCGGGAAAGUAGCUUGCUACUUUUGCCGGCGAGCGGCGGACGGGUGAGUAAUGCCUGGGAAAUUGCCCAGUCGAGGGGGAUAACAGUUGGAAACGACUGCUAAUACCGCAUACGCCCUACGGGGGAAAGCAGGGGACCUUCGGGCCUUGCGCGAUUGGAUAUGCCCAGGUGGGAUUAGCUAGUUGGUGAGGUAAUGGCUCACCAAGGCGACGAUCCCUAGCUGGUCUGAGAGGAUGAUCAGCCACACUGGAACUGAGACACGGUCCAGACUCCUACGGGAGGCAGCAGUGGGGAAUAUUGCACAAUGGGGGAAACCCUGAUGCAGCCAUGCCGCGUGUGUGAAGAAGGCCUUCGGGUUGUAAAGCACUUUCAGCGAGGAGGAAAGGUUGAUGCCUAAUACGUAUCAACUGUGACGUUACUCGCAGAAGAAGCACCGGCUAACUCCGUGCCAGCAGCCGCGGUAAUACGGAAGGUGCAAGCGUUAAUCGGAAUUACUGGGCGUAAAGCGCACGCAGGCGGUUGGAUAAGUUAGAUGUGAAAGCCCCGGGCUCAACCUGGGAAUUGCAUUUAAAACUGUCCAGCUAGAGUCUUGUAGAGGGGGGUAGAAUUCCAGGUGUAGCGGUGAAAUGCGUAGAGAUCUGGAGGAAUACCGGUGGCGAAGGCGGCCCCCUGGACAAAGACUGACGCUCAGGUGCGAAAGCGUGGGGAGCAAACAGG